GACGAACGCUGGCGGCGCGCCUAACACAUGCAAGUCGAACGAGCGAGAGAGAGCUUACUUUCUCGAGCGAGUGGCGAACGGGUGAGUAACGCGUGAGGAACCUGCCUCAAAGAGGGGGACAACAGUUGGAAACGACUGCUAAUACCGCAUAAGCCCACGGCUCGGCAUCGAGCAGAGGGAAAAGGAGCAAUCCGCUUUGAGAUGGCCUCGCGUCCGAUUAGCUAGUUGGUGAGGUAACGGCCCACCAAGGCGACGAUCGGUAGCCGGACUGAGAGGUUGAACGGCCACAUUGGGACUGAGACACGGCCCAGACUCCUACGGGAGGCAGCAGUGGGGAAUAUUGCACAAUGGGGGAAACCCUGAUGCAGCGACGCCGCGUGGAGGAAGAAGGUCUUCGGAUUGUAAACUCCUGUUGUUGAGGAAGAUAAUGACGGUACUCAACAAGGAAGUGACGGCUAACUACGUGCCAGCAGCCGCGGUAAAACGUAGGUCACAAGCGUUGUCCGGAAUUACUGGGUGUAAAGGGAGCGCAGGCGGGAAGACAAGUUGGAAGUGAAAUCCAUGGGCUCAACCCAUGAACUGCUUUCAAAACUGUUUUUCUUGAGUAGUGCAGAGGUAGGCGGAAUUCCCGGUGUAGCGGUGGAAUGCGUAGAUAUCGGGAGGAACACCAGUGGCGAAGGCGGCCUACUGGGCACCAACUGACGCUGAGGCUCGAAAGUGUGGGUAGCAAACAGGAUUAGAUACCCUGGUAGUCCACACUGUAAACGAUGAUUACUAGGUGUUGGAGGAUUGACCCCUUCAGUGCCGCAGUUAACGCAAUAAGUAAUCCACCUGGGGAGUACGACCGCAAGGUUGAAACUCAAAGGAAUUGACGGGGGCCCGCACAAGCAGUGGAGUAUGUGGUUUAAUUCGACGCAACGCGAAGAACCUUACCAAGUCUUGACAUCCUGCGACGCACAUAGAAAUAUGUGUUUCCUUCGGGACGCAGAGACAGGUGGUGCAUGGUUGUCGUCAGCUCGUGUCGUGAGAUGUUGGGUUAAGUCCCGCAACGAGCGCAACCCUUAUGGUCAGUUACUACGCAAGAGGACUCUGGCCAGACUGCCGUUGACAAAACGGAGGAAGGUGGGGAUGACGUCAAAUCAUCAUGCCCUUUAUGACUUGGGCUACACACGUACUACAAUGGCGUUAAACAAAGAGAAGCAAGACCGCGAGGUGGAGCAAAACUCAGAAACAACGUCCCAGUUCGGACUGCAGGCUGCAACUCGCCUGCACGAAGUCGGAAUUGCUAGUAAUCGCAGAUCAGCAUGCUGCGGUGAAUACGUUCCCGGGCCU
RNAcentral lists this ribosomal RNA (1332 nucleotides) under uncultured bacterium. Its description in RNAcentral is "bacterial SSU rRNA". It matches the Rfam family "Bacterial small subunit ribosomal RNA", at positions 28 to 1381 of the family's 1533-position model. The record is from RNAcentral.